GACCAGGAAAGAGGUAGAAGAGAUUCACCUAACAGCCUCUAGGAUACCUGAACUCCUCAGUCUAGCUUCCUGAUGCCAGCAAUGGGACCACUGUGGUCAGGGAUCACUUUGGGGUGCACAGUGGCAGGGAAUAGAGAGAAGAUAAAAAGAAACUGUCAGAAGCCUUGUUGACCGAACAUCCAAAAACUAAGAGAAAAAGCAAACAAUAGAGGAACUGCAGUAGAAGUGAAUAGCGAUAUUUGCUUGAAAAAAACUCAAGAAAAACCAACGUAGUGGAGUAACAAGAACAAAAAAGAGAUCUGAGAAGGCACAGGAAGGAAAGAACAGCCGCCAUUGAGAUGGUGGCUCUGGUCAGUCACCCACUGAUGCCACACGCCUAAUUGUACAGGACAGUUAGCAGGCAAAGAGAAAAGGCCACGUGAGGAUGCUGUAUGAAGGUGGCCACCUGAAAGCCAGGAAGAGAACCCUCUUCAGAAACCAACCCCAAUGGUACCUUGAUCUUGGACUUCCAGCCUCAAGAACUGUGAGAAGAUAAAUUUCUGUUCAAGCCUCCUGGGCUGUAGUAUUUUGCUAUGGCAGCCGUAGCAGACUCCUACACUAUCCUUCCUUGACUUAUCUUCAGUUUUAAUUUCUAUUUUAGCAUCUCUGAAUUUUCUUCAAAGGGGAACCUGUUGUCGUAUUGCCAUAUCAAGGAAAACAUGGCAAGCAGAGAAACUGAUUGUAUCUUUUUUCAUUUCUGUGUUCCAAUAUUUCCAAAUGUGGGC
Symphalangus syndactylus (siamang) is the source of this 764-nucleotide long non-coding RNA. RefSeq lists it as uncharacterized. Lineage: Eukaryota; Metazoa; Chordata; Mammalia; Primates; Hylobatidae. The record is from RefSeq and is a predicted model, not a curated record.